Non-coding RNA from Cricetulus griseus (Chinese hamster), 381 nucleotides. Lineage: Eukaryota; Metazoa; Chordata; Mammalia; Rodentia; Cricetidae. The record is from the annotation of a RefSeq genome assembly.
AUGGCCCUGUUUGCCUCCUUAUUCCUGCUGCUGAUUGGGCCUGCAUAUGUCUUAUCCCAGGUUACCCUGAAGGAGUCUGGACCUGCGCUGUUGCAGCCUUCCCAGACUCUCAGUCUGACCUGCUCUUUCUCUGGGUUUUCACUGAGCACUUCUGGUAUGGGUGUGAGCUGGAUCCGCCAGCCCUCAGGGAAGGUUCUUGAGUGGCUGUCAGACAUUUGGUGGAAUGAUGAGAAGUACUACAACCCAUCCCUAAAGAAUCGGCUCACAAUCUCCAAGGAUACCUCCAAAAACCAGGUGUUGCUCAAGGUCACCAGUAUGGACACUGCAGAUACUGCCACAUACUACUGUUCUCAGAGAGCACAGAGACACAGCCUCGGCUGA